GACGAACGCUGGCGGCGUGCUUAACACAUGCGAGUCGAACGGAAAGGCCCUGCUUUUGUGGGGUGCUCGAGUGGCGAACGGGUGAGUAACACGUGAGUAACCUGCCCCUGACUUUGGGAUAACUUCAGGAAACUGGGGCUAAUACCGGAUAGGAGCUCCUGCUGCAUGGUGGGGGUUGGAAAGUUUCGGCGGUUGGGGAUGUACUCGCGGCUUAUCAGAUUGUUGGUGGGGUAGUGGCUUACCAAGGCUUUGACGGGUAGCCGGCCUGAGAGGGUGACCGGCCACAUUGGGACUGAGAUACGGCCCAGACUCCUACGGGAGGCAGCAGUGGGGAAUAUUGCACAAGGGGCGGAAGCCUGAUGCAGCAACGCCGCGUGCGGGAUGACGGCAUUCGGGUUGUAAACCGCUUUCGCCUGUGACGAAGCGUGAGUGACGGUAAUGGGUAGAGAAGCACCGGCUAACUACGUG
RNAcentral lists this ribosomal RNA (468 nucleotides) under uncultured bacterium. RNAcentral's name for it is "partial 16S ribosomal RNA". It matches the Rfam family "Bacterial small subunit ribosomal RNA", at positions 28 to 507 of the family's 1533-position model. The record is from RNAcentral.